RNAcentral lists this ribosomal RNA (497 nucleotides) under uncultured bacterium. RNAcentral describes it as "partial 16S ribosomal RNA". It matches the Rfam family "Bacterial small subunit ribosomal RNA", at positions 28 to 507 of the family's 1533-position model. The record is from RNAcentral.
GAUGAACGCUGGCAGCGUGCCUAAUACAUGCAAGUCGAGCGAACGGACGAGAAGCUUGCUUCUCUGAUGUUAGCGGCGGACGGGUGAGUAACACGUGGAUAACCUACCUAUAAGACUGGGAUAACUUCGGGAAACCGGAGCUAAUACCGGAUAAUAUUUUGAACCGCAUGGUUCAAAAGUGAAAGACGGUCUUGCUUUCACUUAUAGAUGGAUCCGCGCUGCAUUAGCUAGUUGGUAAGGUAACGGCUUACCAAGGCAACGAUGCAUAGCCGACCUGAGAGGAUGAUCGGCCACACUGGAACUGAGACACGGUCCAGACUCCUACGGGAGGCAGCAGUAGGGAAUCUUCCGCAAUGGGCGAAAGCCUGACGGAGCAACGCCGCGUGAGUGAUGAAGGUCUUCGGAUCGUAAAACUCUGUUAUUAGGGAAGAACAUAUGUGUAAGUAACUGUGCACAUCUUGACGGUACCUAAUCAGAAAGCCACGGCUAACUACGUG